Molecule: ribosomal RNA, 759 nt
Filed under: uncultured bacterium
Lineage: Bacteria
Description: bacterial SSU rRNA
Rfam family: Bacterial small subunit ribosomal RNA
Source: RNAcentral
GAUGAACGCUAGCUACAGGCUUAACACAUGCAAGUCGAGGGGCAUCAGGAAGAAAGCUUGCUUUCUUUGCUGGCGACCGGCGCACGGGUGAGUAACACGUAUCCAACCUGCCCUUUACUCGGGGAUAGCCUUUCGAAAGAAAGAUUAAUACCCGAUAGCAUAAUGAUUCCGCAUGGUUUCAUUAUUAAAGGAUUCCGGUAAAGGAUGGGGAUACGUUCCAUUAGGUUGUUGGUGAGGUAACGGCUCACCAAGCCUUCGAUGGAUAGGGGUUCUGAGAGGAAGGUCCCCCACAUUGGAACUGAGACACGGUCCAAACUCCUACGGGAGGCAGCAGUGAGGAAUAUUGGUCAAUGGGCGCUAGCCUGAACCAGCCAAGUAGCGUGAAGGAUGAAGGCUCUAUGGGUCGUAAACUUCUUUUAUAUAAGAAUAAAGUGCAGUAUGUAUACUGUUUUGUAUGUAUUAUAUGAAUAAGGAUCGGCUAACUCCGUGCCAGCAGCCGCGGUAAUACGGAGGAUCCGAGCGUUAUCCGGAUUUAUUGGGUUUAAAGGGAGCGUAGGUGGACUGGUAAGUCAGUUGUGAAAGUUUGCGGCUCAACCGUAAAAUUGCAGUUGAUACUGUCAGUCUUGAGUACAGUAGAGGUGGGCGGAAUUCGUGGUGUAGCGGUGAAAUGCUUAGAUAUCACGAAGAACUCCGAUUGCGAAGGCAGCUCACUGGACUGCAACUGACACUGAUGCUCAAAGGUGUGGGUAUCAAACCAGG